GAUGAACGCUGGCGGCGUGCCUAAUACAUGCAAGUCGAGCGAACGGACGAGAAGCUUGCUUCUCUGAUGUUAGCGGCGGACGGGUGAGUAACACGUGGAUAACCUACCUAUAAGACUGGGAUAACUUCGGGAAACCGGAGCUAAUACCGGAUAAUAUUUUGAACCGCAUGGUUCAAUAGUGAAAGACGGUCUUGCUGUCACUUAUAGAUGGAUCCGCGCUGCAUUAGCUAGUUGGUAAGGUAACGGCUUACCAAGGCAACGAUGCGUAGCCGACAUGAGAGGGGGAUCGGCCAAACUGGAACAGAGACACGGUAAAGAGGACUAAGGGAGGCAGCAGUAGGGAAUCUUCCGAAAUGGGCGAAAGCAUGACGGAGCAAAGCCGAGUGAGUGAUGAAGGUCUUCGGAUCGUAAAACUCUGUUAUUAGGGAAGAACAAAUGUGUAAGUAACUGUGCACAUAUUGACGGUACCUAAUCAGAAAGCCACGGCUAACUACGUG
Molecule: ribosomal RNA, 497 nt
Filed under: uncultured bacterium
Lineage: Bacteria
Description: partial 16S ribosomal RNA
Rfam family: Bacterial small subunit ribosomal RNA
Source: RNAcentral